This is a long non-coding RNA of Ostrea edulis (European flat oyster), 1509 nucleotides long. RefSeq lists it as uncharacterized. The record is from RefSeq and is a predicted model, not a curated record. Lineage: Eukaryota; Metazoa; Mollusca; Bivalvia; Ostreida; Ostreidae. The transcript is spliced from 3 exons.
UUCUACAUGGUUUUGAUUCUUGCUGCCAUUUUGCUGUUUCAAAAUCUCUGCAGCUAAUUUCUCGUAAUCGAUGUUUAGUGGUUGCUUGACUGCUUUCGCCGACUUGGUUAUCAAUUUUCGUUCUUUUUGAUUUUUUUGCAGACUCGUUUGCGGCUGGCCGCUUCCGCGGCAUGGUUACAACUGAGGAAAAUGCAACUAUUAUUAUAGUUACAAUGUAUCGAAAUAGCAAUAUUUAGUGGGAAGUUCCCAGGUAUCUUCCACUAGUGACAGUCUACUGGUAAAUCCAGACAUGCAUUGGUAGGAUGCUGAUGUGGAGGACACGGGAACACCUUAUCCAAGAAAUGUGGAUUUCAUUCGGAGCGACAACCGGACAUUCAAUUUGAGAUAUGGGACCCAAUUAUUCAGAGUUCUGCAGCUUUUAUGAAGCUGUUUUUGACAGAAGAUUUGGUUUUCUCCAUCUCUGUUGUCACCAACCAUUAUGCUGAGAUGGCCAUAUCUAAGGGAAAGGGUUGUCAUAAGCUUUCCAAGGAAGUUCACAGCCUCUCACCGAAGAGGAACUGUACAGGGAUUGCUAGUUUUGAAGUACCGAUAUUGUGACAGUGAUUGCCAGCUAAAAUGAAUAACAAAAUGCAUUAUUAUAAGAUUACCUUUACCAAAAUUAAUCUGGCUGUGCAUCUAACACUUUUUUGAAAUGUGCACUACCAUUACCUCUUAUAAAAUUUCAUAAGUAAUUAAACGCAUAUUUUUUUUUAUAGAAAACAUUUACAGAGCCAAUUGAGCAUUCAAAAGCUCUGGCAAUACAUUAUUACUUGGGGCUAAAUAUAAGAAAUACUUCCCCCCAGAUUUUUGGGCAUUAUCUUAUAUAUGUCUGCUGUGAAGUUCCAGUCGAUAGACAGAUAUUGGUCAACACAUGCCCCUAUCGGAACAACCCAGUAUCAAGAAUUAUGUCUAGAAAUAGGGUUUCAGAGGUUGAAUAUAAACAGAAAUUUUUUGUUAAAUAUGAUGCAAGUGCAUUUACAUUUCGUGAUUGAGAGUAAGUACUGGAACAUUCGCAUACAUUGAACUUUAAGAGGAAAACAGGUAGAACUUUUUGAUAACAUUUGAUAUGUUGUUGUUGCUUAGCAACCAAAUAUAUUUGAAUAUGAAAAAUUAAAUCUUAUUAGAUUAACAGUAAAGAUUUUUGUUUUAAUGUUGCAAUAUUUAUUCUAUUUAGUGGAACAUAAUGGUAAAACGUCAUUUUAUUAGAAAAUGAUGGAUAUGUAUAUAAAGUACGAAGUUUCCAUUUUAUGACCUUAAUUCUGUUCCUCAUAUUUUUGUUAAAAACCUUUUAAAAUGAUGAAGAUCUAUUGUAAUAUUAUAUUUUUAAAAUGUACUAAUCAUCAUGCAAUGUAAUUAUGUUUAAAUUGUGUCGAAUAGAUGCAGAGAGGUAAAUUAUGGUCAAAAUUGUACCAUGCGUGUUGUUACUUAGUAAUCAAAAUAUUUGUUUAUCGAUAAAAUUGAUUAAUUUGA